RNAcentral lists this ribosomal RNA (800 nucleotides) under uncultured bacterium. RNAcentral's name for it is "bacterial SSU rRNA". It matches the Rfam family "Bacterial small subunit ribosomal RNA", at positions 8 to 801 of the family's 1533-position model. The record is from RNAcentral.
AGAGUUUGAUCCUGGCUCAGAUUGAACGCUGGCGGCAUGCCUUACACAUGCAAGUCGAACGGCAGCACGGGUGCUUGCACCUGGUGGCGAGUGGCGAACGGGUGAGUAAAGUAUCGGAACGUGCCUGGUAGUGGGGGAUAACUAGUCGAAAGACUAGCUAAUACCGCAUACGAUCUAAGGAUGAAAGCAGGGGACCUUCGGGCCUUGUGCUAUCAGAGCGGCCGAUAUCUGAUUAGCUAGUUGGUGGGGUAAAAGCCCACCAAGGCGACGAUCAGUAGCUGGUCUGAGAGGACGACCAGCCACACUGGAACUGAGACACGGUCCAGACUCCUACGGGAGGCAGCAGUGGGGAAUUUUGGACAAUGGGGGCAACCCUGAUCCAGCAAUGCCGCGUGAGUGAAGAAGGCCCUCGGGUUGUAAAGCUCUUUUGUCAGGGAAGAAAAGGCUGUGGCUAAUAUCCGCAGCUGCUGACGGUACCUGAAGAAUAAGCACCGGCUAACUACGUGCCAGCAGCCGCGGUAAUACGUAGGGUGCAAGCGUUAAUCGGAAUUACUGGGCGUAAAGCGUGCGCAGGCGGUUUUAUAAGUCUGAUGUGAAAUCCCCGGGCUCAACCUGGGAACUGCAUUGGAGACUGUAAGGCUAGAGUGUGUCAGAGGGGGGUAGAAUUCCACGUGUAGCAGUGAAAUGCGUAGAUAUGUGGAGGAAUACCGAUGGCGAAGGCAGCCCCCUGGGAUAACACUGACGCUCAUGCACGAAAGCGUGGGGAGCAAACAGGAUUAGAUACCCUGGUAGUCCACGCC